RNAcentral lists this microRNA precursor (102 nucleotides) under Marmota monax (woodchuck). Lineage: Eukaryota; Metazoa; Chordata; Mammalia; Rodentia; Sciuridae. The record is from RNAcentral.
GGUUAAAUUGUUACAUCUUAUGUGAAGAGUGUAUUUAACUUUAUAAGGAACUGCCAAACUGUUUUCCACAGUGGCUAUCCCAUUUUGCAUUCCACCAGCAAU